UUUUUUACAACUCUCAGUUUUUUCGAAUAAUCUUUUCUCAUCAAUCCGCAGAGACCAACGCUCUGUGCCAGAGUCCGAGUCCUCCCAGAUCGCGACUCCCCACGCUUGAGCCAAAAGUGACGAAGAAGCGCUCGUAACCAUUGUCUGGGAGAGUUCCCAGGGAAGGGACCUGACGCCGCCUCUUCAGCCCUUGAACAUUCUUUCAUUCGCUUUCGAGGAGCCCCUUUUCAAUCGCUACGAUGCCGACCGGGC
This 252-nucleotide long non-coding RNA is filed under the name Zostera marina. RNAcentral's name for it is "long non-coding RNA (ZMAR_LNC003964)". Lineage: Eukaryota; Viridiplantae; Streptophyta; Magnoliopsida; Alismatales; Zosteraceae. The record is from RNAcentral.